UUUAUCAAAAACACAGCACUCUGCAAACACGAAAGUGGACGUAUAGGGUGUGACGCCUGCCCGGUGCUGGAAGGUUAAUUGAUGGGGUCAGCCGCAAGGCGAAGCUCUUGAUCGAAGUCCCAGUAAACGGCGGCCGUAACUAUAACGGUCCUAAGGUAGCGAAAUUCCUUGUCGGGUAAGUUCCGACCUGCACGAAUGGCGUAACGACAGCGGCGCUGUCUCCACCCGAGACUCA
RNAcentral lists this ribosomal RNA (235 nucleotides) under Xanthomonas vesicatoria. RNAcentral's name for it is "partial 23S ribosomal RNA". It matches the Rfam family "Bacterial large subunit ribosomal RNA", at positions 1803 to 2034 of the family's 2925-position model. Lineage: Bacteria; Pseudomonadati; Pseudomonadota; Gammaproteobacteria; Lysobacterales; Lysobacteraceae. The record is from RNAcentral.